GGCUCUUUGAAAAGAAUUAAUAAAGAGUCAGACCUGCCCAGUGACAUGUGGUUUAACGGCCGCGGUACUUUGACCGUGCAAAGGUAGCAUAAUCAAUUGUCUUAUAAUUAAAGACUGGUAUGAAAGGUUUAACGAGAAUUCAACUGGCUCCUAUUAGCUAAAAUGAACUUGACUUUUAAGUGCAAAGGCUUAAAUAAUAUUGAAAGACAAGAAGACCCUAUUGAGCUUAAAAUUUUUUAAUAGUGCGGGUAUUAUAGGUGCCUAAAUUAUGAUCUAUUAAUCUUUUUUAGUUGGGGCGACUCUGGAACAAUUAAAGCUUCCUAGAUGUAAUAUGACUUAAUCCUAUUUGACGUGAUCCAGGAUAGUUCUGAUUACUAGAAGAAGUUACCAUAGGGAUAACAGCAUAAUCCUCUUUGAGAGUUCUAAUCGAAAAGAGGGUUUGUGACCUCGAUGUUGGACUAGAAUAUCCUAAGGGUGCAGAAGUUCUUGAGGGUUGGUCUGUUCGACCAUUAAAAUUCU
RNAcentral lists this ribosomal RNA (519 nucleotides) under Lanistes nsendweensis. RNAcentral's name for it is "partial large subunit ribosomal RNA". It matches the Rfam family "Bacterial large subunit ribosomal RNA", at positions 1817 to 2597 of the family's 2925-position model. Lineage: Eukaryota; Metazoa; Mollusca; Gastropoda; Architaenioglossa; Ampullariidae. The record is from RNAcentral.